GGCGACGCCCAAUUAUAAGACGCCGUGACAGACAGCAGAGAGGCAAGGAAGAAGAAGUGACCCCUCGGAAAGUGUGGCGAGAUGAAACGAGACAGACGCGCAACUAUUACAAGCAACCAGUCCAGGGUGCACACCGCCUCAGUC
This is a long non-coding RNA of Hippocampus zosterae (dwarf seahorse), 144 nucleotides long. RefSeq lists it as uncharacterized. The record is from RefSeq and is a predicted model, not a curated record. NCBI's taxonomy places the organism in Eukaryota, Metazoa, Chordata, Actinopteri, Syngnathiformes, Syngnathidae. The transcript has 3 exons.